Molecule: unclassified non-coding RNA, 283 nt
Filed under: Hevea brasiliensis (rubber tree)
Lineage: Eukaryota; Viridiplantae; Streptophyta; Magnoliopsida; Malpighiales; Euphorbiaceae
Source: RNAcentral
UGACGGAGGACUUGUGAUCCGAGAAGAGGUGGAGCUGCGACCAGUCGUCGGGGCGGGAGCCUUCUUUCCAGAUGAUGACGCGGCCGUCGUAGCCACAGGUGGCGAGGAGGGAGCCGAACUUGGGGUGGGCCCAGGCGGCCUGCCAAACGGGGCCGUGGUGGCCGGCGAGGGUGGCGAGGGGCUGGUGGGAGGAGGCGGAGACGCCGAUGAUCUUGACGGUGGAGUCGGAAGAGGCGGUGGCGAGGCGCUUGCCGUAGUAGUCCAUGGCGACGUCGUGGACGAC